RNAcentral lists this ribosomal RNA (413 nucleotides) under Escherichia coli. Its description in RNAcentral is "partial 23S ribosomal RNA". It matches the Rfam family "Bacterial large subunit ribosomal RNA", at positions 2251 to 2663 of the family's 2925-position model. Lineage: Bacteria; Pseudomonadati; Pseudomonadota; Gammaproteobacteria; Enterobacterales; Enterobacteriaceae. The record is from RNAcentral.
ACAGUGUCUGGUGGGUAGUUUGACUGGGGCGGUCUCCUCCUAAAGAGUAACGGAGGAGCACGAAGGUUGGCUAAUCCUGGUCGGACAUCAGGAGGUUAGUGCAAUGGCAUAAGCCAGCUUGACUGCGAGCGUGACGGCGCGAGCAGGUGCGAAAGCAGGUCAUAGUGAUCCGGUGGUUCUGAAUGGAAGGGCCAUCGCUCAACGGAUAAAAGGUACUCCGGGGAUAACAGGCUGAUACCGCCCAAGAGUUCAUAUCGACGGCGGUGUUUGGCACCUCGAUGUCGGCUCAUCACAUCCUGGGGCUGAAGUAGGUCCCAAGGGUAUGGCUGUUCGCCAUUUAAAGUGGUACGCGAGCUGGGUUUAGAACGUCGUGAGACAGUUCGGUCCCUAUCUGCCGUGGGCGCUGGAGAAUU